Molecule: long non-coding RNA, 309 nt
Filed under: Elaeis guineensis (African oil palm)
Lineage: Eukaryota; Viridiplantae; Streptophyta; Magnoliopsida; Arecales; Arecaceae
Description: long non-coding RNA (EGUI_LNC015211)
Source: RNAcentral
GGUGUGCUGUUCUCAUUGGAAAAACCGGACGGCCGUUUUUCCACAGAUGGGAGACGUGUACGGCUCUGAAUACCUUGGAGACGUGCACGGCGGUACGGGAUCCAAGUCCAACUUGAUUGCCAGCUAGCAUUUAGCGGGGUGGAUCUGAAAUAUUUAAAAUAUUUUAAUUAUUAUAUAAUAAUUUGGUAGUUGAAUGAAUGGUCGAGGACAAGGAGGCUUCCACGGGAACUAGUGGAAUAUUUGAUUGAUUAUCAGCUGAUUUCCUGUUGGUUGUACCAUCUCAUUAGGCCACUGUACAUAAUUAGCGGA